AACUAUACUAAAACGCAAACGGCAAAACGACAAACAAAAUGAAUAGUGACGCGACCAUUCUACCGCUCUCUUGCCUGGUAAACUGUCCCUCCAGCUGUUGAAUUUUUGUGGCACCGAUUAUGUUCAACGAAAUUACACAGUCCACCUGUUGAUCUACGGAGCCACCACCUGUUAGGAGAAGCUGCCACCGAUUACUGUUGGCGUGGCCUUGCUCUGCAGAAAUAUAGAGGUAGACAUUAUGGUGAGAUACAGGGUCUACUUCUUUCCUCUGCACAAAGAGAGAGAGAGAGAGCGAAGGGACUAGAGGAAGAAGACGUGACUUAGCAGUAAGUUCCUGCUCCCAGGCGUUGUUAUUCAUCAAUAGGUAUGGACUCUUGCCGCUGCAUCUCACCGGGAAAAUGCAGGUAUAUCAAUAGGGUUUGAUCUUGGAAUUUCAAGAUGCUGGCCAAUUUUGUUCAUAGAAUGAAUGGACCAACACCUUUGUGAGUGUAGUACUCUUGCUGCCUGCCAGGACUCCACCAUGCUUAAGAAAAUUCUGAGCAAAUUCACCUCGCAAGCCAAAAUCUGUCACUAGAUUCCACUGGAAGUGAUUCUGGCAACAAUAGUCCUAAUUUGGGCAGUGGUUUCCAAUGAACAAUUGGUGGGAGUUCUCUUGCAAGCAAAUUGAAUGUUGUCAAACGGGUGUCUUCAGUUGUUUGCCCAGCAAGCAUUUCAGCUGGAGCAGAGGUAGUGGAGCCUCAUCUGUCUUUCAAAGAGGUUUCAAAUCCACAGAAGCAGAAUCUGUUUAUCAGUAAGUUGAACGUUUGCUGCGAGAUCAUUGAUUCUAUCGAUCCAGCUAAGCGGCAAGAUCUUAAGCGUGAAACAUUGAUUGAGCUGCAGGUCGCACCAUAUAAGGGAAGGAAGGGUGAGUCAAAUUGGGGUCUUAACACAUCUAGAGAAUUACAAGUACUCAAUCGUAUCUGGAAUCUUGAAGAACAGCAUGCAUCUAAUAUAUCAUUGGUAAAAGCACUGAAACGGAUCAUUCUAAGGCUAUAAUUCAAGAGUUGGUGCAUGAAAAGCAAUGGGAUAGGCAAGAAAUGGACGACUUGACGAAGCAAGUUUUAGACCAAAGCCGACUCAAAACUGAUGUUCAGUUGGUCAGGGUUCGUCAAGUCUUAGACCAAAGCCGACUCAAAACUGAUGUUCAGUUGGUCAGGGUUCGUCAAGUCUUAGACCAAAGCCGACUCAAAACUGAUGUUCAGUUGGUCAGGGGAUGAGCUAGAAGGUGAAAGGAAAUUGAGAAAGCAUCCGGAUUUUUGGGACAAGUAAAACAAUGUAUAAUGAAGUUUUAAUGUAUAAUUUCGAAAUCUGGCUAAGUACAACAUUGUAUAAUGUAGUUUUAUUGUAUGUAAUAUAUCUAUAACGUAGUUUCGAUGUAAAUUCACCAAUAUCAAUAGUAUACCCGCAGCAUCGCGCGGGUUUUUUGCCUAGU
Long non-coding RNA from Rosa rugosa (rugosa rose), 1471 nucleotides. RefSeq lists it as uncharacterized. NCBI's taxonomy places the organism in Eukaryota, Viridiplantae, Streptophyta, Magnoliopsida, Rosales, Rosaceae. The record is from RefSeq and is a predicted model, not a curated record. The transcript is spliced from 4 exons.